Molecule: unclassified non-coding RNA, 2284 nt
Filed under: Acanthaster planci (crown-of-thorns starfish)
Lineage: Eukaryota; Metazoa; Echinodermata; Asteroidea; Valvatida; Acanthasteridae
Description: uncharacterized LOC110989509, transcript variant X3
Source: RNAcentral
UUCCUUGUACAAAAUGAAGAAAGAGAGUGCAGGACCACUGUCCAUGACAUCUGUUGCACUAUGCUGGACAUUUUGGCGCAAAAACUGAAUUUUCCUUUUUGUAACUGUGACUAGAAAGUUGUACUCUAUGAUAAACCCUCCGAAACCACUCUUCCCUUCAAUUGGCCAUGUGAGAACUGUAAGUUAAGGGUCUAUUGUUGUCUGAACUGACGCCACGCAGAAUCUGCAAGAUCCAGGCCGUCUAUUUUUUUGCUCUCGUGAAUGACAGGAAGCGUGUUUGGUUGCAAUUCGGGUCGUCAAGUUAACAUUGUUUUUUCUCUGCUGCACCGAGUCUCCGUCCACCAAGCCUACCUCUAUUCGGGGCGUGUCAUCUUGGCAGGCCGGCCAUGAUUCACUGAUUUUCAGUGCGUGUCAGGCAUUUUGCCUGUUCUGCUCUGGUGAGUCCCGUUGAGUAGGCACGCAGAAUUUAGGUGCCAAGUGACCUGGUUUCGUAUUGUUUGCUCUCCUUAUCCUGUGUGUAUAUAACAUUCCUUUUCCUUUUGUUAUCACCGGAGUGUUACCAUCUCUGGUGUGCUCAGGCUAGCAGUGUGUAGCCUGUGUAUUUGUAUAGCAUUACUUGCGAAAGUGUCGCCAUUACUAUUCCUAAUUAGCAUUUGGUAGUAGUCGUUUCACUAGGCUAGCAGUUGUAGCCCAUAUUUACCUGUUACUUUUAGUGUUGGAUUUUGGCUUUUUUUGUUUUGUCUGUCAGCAGUUGUGACAGACGCCCUUUAUUUAUCCAAGGAAUUCCUUUUGUUCUUCUUCGUUGAUUUCAACGACAGUAUAUCAUUAUGGUUGAUGUUUCCCAUAAAGAUUAGGUUAUUGAGGUACAGUUUCUGGAGCCAACAACCCCCAGAUCUUUGUUUCAGAAGCUCUCUGGAGUUGGCAUUAAGGCUGCAGACCACCUGGCAGCCGUCCAACCAUUGCCUGGUAACAAAUUUGAUAUUGUAUUUAAGUCGGUGGCCCUGUGCAGACAGUUGCACCCUCAAGUGAGCAGUAUAGAUGGGUGCAUGGUCACCCGAUUUAACGAUAUUGUCAUUAUCACGAUACAUUAUAUUAGCAUGUGUAUUCAUGACAGCAUUGUUCGCAGUAUUUUGAGUGAGUUUGGAGAGGUGAUUGCCGGUCGAUUUACGACUUACGGGGACAACCCCACAGUGUUCAACGGUACAAGGCAGUAUAAAAUGAAAUUGACCAAGCCUAUUCCCACGGUUCUUCGUAUCGGGGACCGAAAUGCAUGGGUCUCGUAUCCAGGUCAAAUUCGCACGUGUGCCCGUUGUGGAGAACAGGGACACUAUGCCAGAGACUGUACUAAUACUAAAUGUUUUAAAUGUCUUCAGAUUGGCCACGUUGCGGGUGAUUGCCCUAAUCAAGUCAUUUGCACAAUUUGCAGGAUGGAGGGCCAUAGCUUCCGCUAUUGCCCUAAAUCUUUUGCUAAGGCAGUACAACCAGACAGAGCUUGGAGUUCGGUUUCGAGCAACCCCUCCACUUCAUCAGGUGAUCAGGUAGCCAUUGCUCCUGAUGCCAGCUCGAAAGAGAAAGGGUUAAAGGAAUUGCCAGCUGGGAAGUGUCUCAAAUGUAAACAGAGUGCUGGUCCUUUUCAUCCUAGUAUCUGUUGUUUUUCUUGUAAACUUCCUCUUUCCUUUUCCAAGCCUUUUUCCAUUCUAGAGUGUGCAGCAUGCAAGGGUGUUAACGGUCAGCCAUCGCUGGUGUGCCAUCGGGAUAGUUGCAAGUCUGUUCAGGCACCUGAAUCUAAUGACGGUUUUCGGGUGGUGAGGAGAAGAAAGAGAGCUGCAAAAAGAUCUAGUUCUCCCCCCGUCCAGCCAUCUACUAAGAAGGCAACGCCGAUGCCCUCGUCGACUGGAGGCGGUGGAGAGACAGCUCCCACUGCAGCGGAUAUUUUUGGUUCCGAUUUAGAUAGUGUCUCCUCUAUGGAUUCUUGUCCCGCGAGAGACCCGAUUUCUAGUUUUCUUUCUGAGGGGAGUGCAGAAAGUCUUGAAGAGACUCUUUCUCUUCCCGAACUGGAUUCUGCUCUUCGCAGUAUGCAGAAUGAAAGGUGUCCGGCAGGGAUGUCCAUUGUCGCCUCUCCUUUAUGUCGUUUUCAUUGAGCCCUUUGCGGCGGCUGUUCGCAAUGAUGAAGACAUUCAAGGAAUCUUCAUCCCCGGUAAAACAGAACUGGUUCGCCGAGCCACUGUCUGCCAGCCAACAGAACGGGGUGGCCUUGGUGUCACGAGCGUGAGGUUGAAAUCGG